CCUACGGGAGGCAGCAGUGGGGAAUAUUGCACAAUGGGGGAAACCCUGAUGCAGCGACGCCGCGUGAGUGAAGAAGUAUUUCGGUAUGUAAAGCUCUAUUAGCAGGGAAGAAAAUGACGGUAUCUGACUAAUAAGCACCGGCUAACUACGUGCCAGCAGCCGCGGUAAUACGGAGGGGGCAAGCGUUAUCCGGAUGUACUGGGUGUAAAGGGAGCGUAGACGGGAGCACAAGUCUGGAGUGAAAUGCCGGGGCUUAACCCCGGAACUGCAUUGGAAACUGUGCAGCUAGAGUGCAGGAGAGGUAAGUGGAAUUCUUGGUGUAGCGGUGAAAUGCGUAGAGAUUAGGAGGAACACCAGUUGCGAAGGCGGCUUACUGGACUGUAACUGACGUUGAGGCACGAAAGCGUGGGGAGCAAACAGGAUUAGAUACCCUUGUAGUC
RNAcentral lists this ribosomal RNA (440 nucleotides) under uncultured bacterium. Its description in RNAcentral is "partial 16S ribosomal RNA". It matches the Rfam family "Bacterial small subunit ribosomal RNA", at positions 338 to 795 of the family's 1533-position model. The record is from RNAcentral.